Long non-coding RNA from Octopus sinensis (East Asian common octopus), 101 nucleotides. RefSeq lists it as uncharacterized. The transcript is spliced from 3 exons. The record is from RefSeq and is a predicted model, not a curated record. NCBI's taxonomy places the organism in Eukaryota, Metazoa, Mollusca, Cephalopoda, Octopoda, Octopodidae.
GCAAAUGCACCCCCUCAUCCAUUGGACGGUUUGUAUAGGUGAAGAGAGUUAACUUGGACGGUGUUAAGUUGUGGAGAUGCUUGUGCUGCUGCAGCUGCUGC